GAUGAACGCUGGCGGCGUGCCUAAUACAUGCAAGUCGAGCGAACGGACGAGAAGCUUGCUUUUCUGAUGUUAGCGGCGGACGGGUGAGUAACACGUGGAUAACCUACCUAUAAGACUGGGAUAACUUCGGGAAACCGGAGCUAAUACCGGAUAAUAUUUUGAACCGCAUGGUUCAAAAGUGAAGGACGGUCUUGCUGUCACUUAUAGAUGGAUCCGCGCUGCAUUAGCUAGUUGGUAAGGUAACGGCUUACCAAGGCAACGAUGCAUAGCCGACCUGAGAGGGUGAUCGGCCACACUGGAACUGAGACACGGUCCAGACUCCUACGGGAGGCAGCAGUAGGGAAUCUUCCGCAAUGGGCGAAAGCCUGACGGAGCAACGCCGCGUGAGUGAUGAAGGUCUUCGGAUCGUAAAACUCUGUUAUUAGGGAAGAACAUAUGUGUAAGUAACUGUGCACAUCUUGACGGUACCUAAUCAGAAAGCCACGGCUAGCUACGUG
This 497-nucleotide ribosomal RNA is filed under the name uncultured bacterium. RNAcentral describes it as "partial 16S ribosomal RNA". It matches the Rfam family "Bacterial small subunit ribosomal RNA", at positions 28 to 507 of the family's 1533-position model. The record is from RNAcentral.